RNAcentral lists this non-coding RNA (151 nucleotides) under human gut metagenome. RNAcentral's name for it is "glmS glucosamine-6-phosphate activated ribozyme". It matches the Rfam family "glmS glucosamine-6-phosphate activated ribozyme aptamer". Rfam says of the family: This entry contains a glucosamine-6-phosphate activated ribozyme that is found in the mRNA for GlmS. GlmS is an enzyme that uses fructose-6-phosphate and glutamine to generate glucosamine-6-phosphate. The ribozyme catalyses self cleavage of the glmS mRNA that is thought to regulate GlmS activity. The record is from RNAcentral.
UUUCAAAAGCGCCAGACCAAAAUUUAAAGCUUGGUUAACGAGGCGGAGGGAUUAUCGAGUUUUUCGGCGGGAGCCCUCCCGGCGGCAGGCAUUGCCGUCGUAAGUCUGCAUACAAACCCGUGGGGAGACCUUCGGACAAAAUUGCAGGCAG